Molecule: ribosomal RNA, 666 nt
Filed under: Nostoc sp. LEGE 12449
Lineage: Bacteria; Bacillati; Cyanobacteriota; Cyanophyceae; Nostocales; Nostocaceae
Description: bacterial SSU rRNA
Rfam family: Bacterial small subunit ribosomal RNA
Source: RNAcentral
CGGACGGGUGAGUAACGCGUGAGAAUCUGGCUCUAGGUCUGGGACAACCACUGGAAACGGUGGCUAAUACCGGAUGUGCCGAGAGGUGAAAGGUUAACUGCCUAGAGGUGAGCUCGCGUCUGAUUAGCUAGUUGGAAGUGUAAUGGACUCCCAAGGCGACGAUCAGUAGCUGGUCUGAGAGGACGAUCAGCCACACUGGGACUGAGACACGGCCCAGACUCCUACGGGAGGCAGCAGUGGGGAAUUUUCCGCAAUGGGCGAAAGCCUGACGGAGCAAUACCGCGUGAGGGAGGAAGGCUCUUGGGUCGUAAACCUCUUUUCUCAGGGAAGAACACAAUGACGGUACCUGAGGAAUAAGCAUCGGCUAACUCCGUGCCAGCAGCCGCGGUAAUACGGAGGAUGCAAGCGUUAUCCGGAAUGAUUGGGCGUAAAGCGUCCGCAGGUGGCAAUGUAAGUCUGCUGCUAAAGAGUCUAGCUCAACUAGAUAAAAGCAGUGGAAACUACAUAGCUAGAGUACGUUCGGGGCAGAGGGAAUUCCUGGUGUAGCGGUGAAAUGCGUAGAGAUCAGGAAGAACACCGGUGGCGAAGGCGCUCUGCUAGGCCGUAACUGACACUGAGGGACGAAAGCUAGGGGAGCGAAUGGGAUUAGAUACCCCAGUAGUCAAU